UACGUAGGGGCGAGCGUUGUCCGGAAUGAUUGGGCGUAAAGGGCGCGUAGGCGGCCAGGCAAGUCAGUAGUGGAAGUCCAAUUUUCAAGGUUGGAAGUGCUAUUGAAACUGAAGGGCUUGAGUGCAGGAGAGGUUAUCGGAAUUCCCGGUGUAGCGGUGAAAUGCGUAGAGAUCGGGAGGAACACCAGUGGCGAAGGCGGGUAACUGGACUGCAACUGACGCUGAGGCGCGAAAGUGUGGGGAGCAAACAGGAUUAGAUACCCUGGUAGUCCCU
This 274-nucleotide ribosomal RNA is filed under the name uncultured prokaryote. RNAcentral's name for it is "partial 16S ribosomal RNA". It matches the Rfam family "Bacterial small subunit ribosomal RNA", at positions 524 to 798 of the family's 1533-position model. The record is from RNAcentral.